GAGUAACGCGUGAGCAACCUGCCUAUGACAGUGGGAGUAGCCUCGUGAAACCGGGAUUAAUACCGCAUAAAAUCGUAGAAACACAUGUUUUAACGGUCAAAGAUUUAUCGGUCAUAGAUGGGCUCGCGUCUGAUUAGCUAGUUGGUGAGAUAACAGCCCACCAAGGCGACGAUCAGUAGCCGGUCUGAGAGGAUGAACGGCCACAUUGGAACUGAGACACGGUCCAA
Molecule: ribosomal RNA, 227 nt
Filed under: uncultured Eubacteriales bacterium
Lineage: Bacteria; Bacillati; Bacillota; Clostridia; Eubacteriales
Description: uncultured Clostridiales bacterium partial 16S ribosomal RNA
Rfam family: Bacterial small subunit ribosomal RNA
Source: RNAcentral